This 257-nucleotide ribosomal RNA is filed under the name uncultured bacterium. RNAcentral's name for it is "partial 16S ribosomal RNA". It matches the Rfam family "Bacterial small subunit ribosomal RNA", at positions 28 to 280 of the family's 1533-position model. The record is from RNAcentral.
GAUGAACGCUAGCGGCAGGCCUAAUACAUGCAAGCCGAACGGCAAGAGUUGAUAGCAAUAUUGAUCCUGGAGUGGCGUAAGGGUGCGUAACACGUAUGCAAAUCUACCCUCAACAGGAGGAUAGCUCCCCGAAAGGGGAAUUAAGACUCCAUAAGAUCAUUUGGUGGCAUCAUUGAAUGAUUAAACUUCCAGGGGUUGAGGAUGAGCAUGCGCCNGAUUAGUUAGUUGGCGGGGUAAGGGCCCACCAAGACGAUGAU